UUACGGCCAUUUCGUGUUGAAGCAGCAGUUCCCAUAUGAUUUCUGAAGUUAAGCAACAUUGAGAUUGGUCAGUACCUACAUGGGUGACUGUUUGUGAAUAGUAUGUGCUGAAAG
Non-coding RNA from Acanthosepion pharaonis, 114 nucleotides. NCBI's taxonomy places the organism in Eukaryota, Metazoa, Mollusca, Cephalopoda, Sepiida, Sepiidae. The record is from the annotation of a GenBank genome assembly.